Molecule: long non-coding RNA, 1474 nt
Filed under: Callithrix jacchus (white-tufted-ear marmoset)
Lineage: Eukaryota; Metazoa; Chordata; Mammalia; Primates; Cebidae
Description: lncRNA (ENSCJAG00000055425.2)
Source: RNAcentral
ACACAGUCUCUUCAGAGAAAAAUAUAACAAUCAAAAUAUAUUAAAGAAGGCCUAAAUAAAUUGGGAGGCAUAUCACAUUUAUGAAUUAGAAAAAAUAUUCUAAAGAUAUCAAAUCUAACCAAGUUGAUCUAUUGAUUAAUACAAUUAAUUUUCCCACCACAUUGACCACGAAUCUCUGUCAAACUUUCCUUUUUUUAAUUACAAAAGAAAAAUGUUUUUUUCAAAGUAGAAAAUAAAAAGGAGAAAUUUUAAAUGUUCGGGUAUUUCCACUCUCAGUUAUAACCUUAUUUUAAAUAUUUUUUUCAAUAUAUUAGGUUGGUACAAAAGUAAUUGCAGUUUUUGCCAUUAAAGACAAAGCCUAAUAUUUGCAUUAGCCUAAUGUUAUAUGUGUCUCUGUAUGUAUGUGUUGUUGUGUGUGUGUGUGUGUGUGUGUAUAGGCUCUGUGGUGGUCUUAAAAUAUGUCCACAAAUUUUCUGACACUCCUCUCUUCAAGAAGUGGAGCUUAACUCCCUUUCCUUUGAGUGCAGGUAGUAUUUAGUGACCUACUUUCAAUGAACAGCAUAUGACAGAAGUGAUGUGUGUACAAUCUGAUACUAAGUCAUAUUCAUUGUGGAUUCUGCCUUGUUCUCUUUCAGACAACUCACUUUGGGAGAAACCAACCGCUAUGUCAUGAGGAAAUUCAAACUACCUAUGGAGAGAGGCCCACGUGUUGAGGAAGUAGAGCCUCUUCCCAAUACCACAUGAGUGAGAAAUACUAAAAGGGGAUCCUCUAGCCCCAAUCAAGUUUUCAUAUGACUGCAGCCCCUGCCAGCAUCCUAACUGCAACCUCAUAAAAGACCAUAGCAACGGCCAGGUGUGGUGGCUUAUGCCUGUAAUGUCAGCAUUUUGGGAGGCUGAGGCAGGCGGAUCAGCUGAGAUGGGAUUCAUUCAUUACCUGAAUCAUCUGGAUCCCAAGAAUUGGAUUAGUGGCUCACAACACUCCAUCUUUUGGGACAGGAGAGAGGGUGUCUAUUUCCUGUGGCUACAUUUUGCAGUAAGAUUACAUGACUCUUAUUUGAUCUUUCUCAUUAUUUUUUUUCAGGGCGUAAAUUGUGUCCCAAUUCUGAUACCCAAUAAUGGUGAUCUUACCUCAUUUGGGGUAGGUUGAAGUUGAUAUUCAUUAGGACUUGAAGGAGCAUAUUUUUCUACUUAGUGGAAACCUCAGAAAGUAAGUAAUUGUGUUUAACCUGACAAGAGCUUUAACAAGGAAGAUGCCUACAUCACAAGAUCUCCUUCCUGUGGUAAUAUGCAUAGAGUCUUCCACGAAGAGAUAGACAGAGAUGCCUGCGAUAAGUGGCUUAAGAAAGGAUAACCAGGAAUACCACUGGUAGAUUUCAUCUGCACCUUAUGAGGACAGAUUGUACACGGUGCUGUUGGAUGAUCUCAGACCAUAAAAAGAUUUCCUGAGAGAUUGUUAUAAUAUUGGGAUAAAAAC